UUUCGCAAUGCCCGAAAGGGUGACGAAGCGACGCCGCGUGGGUGAGGAGGGCCUUCGGGUUGUAAAGCCCUGUCAGGAGUUAAGAAAUAUAAGUGUGUUAAUACCGCAUUUAUUUGACGAAGGCUCCAAAGGAAGCCACGGCUAACUCUGUGCCAGCAGCCGCGGUAAUACAGAGGUGGCAAGCGUUGUUCGGAAUUAUUGGGCGUAAAGAGCACGUAGGUGGGUUUGUAAGUCAGAUGUGAAAGCCUUCUGUUCAACGGGAGAAUUGCAUCUGAAACUGCAAGUCUUGAGUAUAGGAGGGGAGAAUGGAACUUCUGGUGGAGCGGUGAAAUGCGUAGAUAUCAGAAGGAACGCCGGCGGCGAAAGCGAUUCUCUGGCCUAUUACUGACACUCAGUGUGCGAAAGCUAGGGGAGCAAACGGGAUUAGAUACCCCGGUAGUCCUAGCUGUAAACGAUGGGCACUAAGUAGAGGGGUUUU
RNAcentral lists this ribosomal RNA (478 nucleotides) under uncultured Planctomycetales bacterium. RNAcentral's name for it is "bacterial SSU rRNA". It matches the Rfam family "Bacterial small subunit ribosomal RNA", at positions 364 to 832 of the family's 1533-position model. Lineage: Bacteria; Pseudomonadati; Planctomycetota; Planctomycetia; Planctomycetales. The record is from RNAcentral.